This 370-nucleotide ribosomal RNA is filed under the name uncultured organism. Its description in RNAcentral is "bacterial SSU rRNA". It matches the Rfam family "Bacterial small subunit ribosomal RNA", at positions 526 to 896 of the family's 1533-position model. The record is from RNAcentral.
CGUAGGGUGCGAGCGUUAAUCGGAAUUACUGGGCGUAAAGCGUGCGCAGGCGGUUCGUUAAGUUCGUUGUGAAAGCCCCGGGCUCAACCUGGGAACGGCAAUGGAAACUGGCGGGCUCGAGUGCGGCAGAGGGGGGUGGAAUUCCACGUGUAGCAGUGAAAUGCGUAGAGAUGUGGAGGAACACCGAUGGCGAAGGCAACCCCCUGGGCUGACACUGACGCUCAGGCACGAAAGCGUGGGGAGCAAACAGGAUUAGAUACCCUGGUAGUCCACGCCCUAAGCCAUGUCAACUGGGUGUUGGGGAAGCGAUUCCCUAGUACCGCAGCUAACGCGUGAAGUUGACCGCCUGGGGAGUACGGCCGCAAGGUUA